GACGAACGCUGGCGGCGUGCUUAACACAUGCAAGUCGAACGGAAAGGCCCUGCUUUUGUGGGGUGCUCGAGUGGCGAACGGGUGAGUAACACGUGAGUAACCUGCCCUUGACUUUGGGAUAACUUCAGGAAACUGGGGCUAAUACCGGAUAGGAGCUCCUGCUGCAUGGUGGGGGUUGGAAAGUUUCGGCGGUUGGGGAUGGACUCGCGGCUUAUCAGCUUGUUGGUGGGGUAGUGGCUUACCAAGGCUUUGACGGGUAGCCGGCCUGAGAGGGUGACCGGCCACAUUGGGACUGAGAGACGGCCCAGACUCCUACGGGAGGCAGCAGUGGGGAAUAUUGUACAAUGGGCGGAAGCCUGAUGCAGCAACGCCGCGUGCGGGAUGACGGCCUUCGGGUUGUAAACCGCUUUCGCCUGUGACGAAGCGUGAGUGACGGUAAUGGGUAAAGAAGCACCGGCUAACUACGUG
RNAcentral lists this ribosomal RNA (468 nucleotides) under uncultured bacterium. RNAcentral's name for it is "partial 16S ribosomal RNA". It matches the Rfam family "Bacterial small subunit ribosomal RNA", at positions 28 to 507 of the family's 1533-position model. The record is from RNAcentral.